GGUUAAGCGACUAAGCGUACACGGUGGAUGCCCUGGCAGUCAGAGGCGAUGAAGGACGUGCUAAUCUGCGAAAAGCGCCGGCGAGGUGAUAUGAACCUUUGACCCGGCGAUGUCCGAAUGGGGAAACCCAGUGUGUUCCGACACACUAUCGUUAACUGAAUACAUAGGUUAACGAGGCGAACCGGGGGAACUGAAACAUCUAAGUACCCCGAGGAAAAGAAAUCAACCGAGAUUCCCCCAGUAGCGGCGAGCGAACGGGGAGCAGCCCAGAGUCUGAAUCAGCUUGUGUGUUAGUGGAAGCGUCUGGAAAGUCGCACGGUACAGGGUGAAAGUCCCGUACACGAAAGCACACAGGCUGUGAACUCGAAGAGUAGGGCGGGACACGUGGUAUCCUGUCUGAAUAUGGGGGGACCAUCCUCCAAGGCUAAAUACUCCUGACUGACCGAUAGUGAACCAGUACCGUGAGGGAAAGGCGAAAAGAACCCCGGCGAGGGGAGUGAAAAAGAACCUGAAACCGUGUACGUACAAGCAGUGGGAGCCUCUUUAUGGGGUGACUGCGUACCUUUUGUAUAAUGGGUCAGCGACUUAUAUUCUGUAGCAAGGUUAACCGUAUAGGGGAGCCGAAGGGAAACCGAGUCUUAACUGGGCGUUAAGUUGCAGGGUAUAGACCCGAAACCCGGUGAUCUAGCCAUGGGCAGGUUGAAGGUUGGGUAACACUAACUGGAGGACCGAACCGACUAAUGUUGAAAAAUUAGCGGAUGACUUGUGGCUGGGGGUGAAAGGCCAAUCAAACCGGGAGAUAGCUGGUUCUCCCCGAAAGCUAUUUAGGUAGCGCCUCGUGAACUCAUCUUCGGGGGUAGAGCACUGUUUCGGCUAGGGGGCCAUCCCGGCUUACCAACCCGAUGCAAACUACGAAUACCGAAGAAUGUUAUCACGGGAGACACACGGCGGGUGCUAACGUCCGUCGUGAAGAGGGAAACAACCCAGACCGCCAGCUAAGGUCCCAAAGUCAUGGUUAAGUGGGAAACGAUGUGGGAAGGCACAGACAGCCAGGAUGUUGGCUUAGAAGCAGCCAUCAUUUAAAGAAAGCGUAAUAGCUCACUGGUCGAGUCGGCCUGCGCGGAAGAUGUAACGGGGCUAAACCAUGCACCGAAGCUGCGGCAGCGACGCUUAUGCGUUGUUGGGUAGGGGAGCGUUCUGUAAGCCGUUGAAGGUGUCCUGUGAGGGGUGCUGGAGGUAUCAGAAGUGCGAAUGCUGACAUAAGUAACGAUAAAGCGGGUGAAAAGCCCGCUCGCCGGAAGACCAAGGGUUCCUGUCCAACGUUAAUCGGGGCAGGGUGAGUCGACCCCUAAGGCGAGGCCGAAAGGCGUAGUCGAUGGGAAACAGGUUAAUAUUCCUGUACUUGGUGUUACUGCGAAGGGGGGACGGAGAAGGCUAUGUUAGCCGGGCGACGGUUGUCCCGGUUUAAGCAUGUAGGCGGAGGUUCCAGGUAAAUCCGGUUCCUUGUUAACGCUGAGGUGUGAUGACGAGGCACUACGGUGCUGAAGUAACAAAUGCCCUGCUUCCAGGAAAAGCCUCUAAGCAUCAGGUAACAUCAAAUCGUACCCCAAACCGACACAGGUGGUCAGGUAGAGAAUACCAAGGCGCUUGAGAGAACUCGGGUGAAGGAACUAGGCAAAAUGGUGCCGUAACUUCGGGAGAAGGCACGCUGAUAUGUAGGUGAAGCCCCUGCGGGUGGAGCUGAAAUCAGUCGAAGAUACCAGCUGGCUGCAACUGUUUAUUAAAAACACAGCACUGUGCAAACACGAAAGUGGACGUAUACGGUGUGACGCCUGCCCGGUGCCGGAAGGUUAAUUGAUGGGGUUAGCGGUAACGCGAAGCUCUUGAUCGAAGCCCCGGUAAACGGCGGCCGUAACUAUAACGGUCCUAAGGUAGCGAAAUUCCUUGUCGGGUAAGUUCCGACCUGCACGAAUGGCGUAAUGAUGGCCAGGCUGUCUCCACCCGAGACUCAGUGAAAUUGAACUCGCUGUGAAGAUGCAGUGUACCCGCGGCAAGACGGAAAGACCCCGUGAACCUUUACUAUAGCUUGACACUGAACACUGGUCCUUGAUGUGUAGGAUAGGUGGGAGGCUUUGAAGCGUGGACGCCAGUCUGCGUGGAGCCAACCUUGAAAUACCACCCUUUAAUGGCUGGUGUUCUAACGUAGACCCGUAAUCCGGGUUGCGGACAGUGUCUGGUGGGUAGUUUGACUGGGGCGGUCUCCUCCCAAAGAGUAACGGAGGAGCACGAAGGUUAGCUAAUCCUGGUCGGACAUCAGGAGGUUAGUGCAAUGGCAUAAGCUAGCUUGACUGCGAGAGUGACGGCUCGAGCAGGUGCGAAAGCAGGUCAUAGUGAUCCGGUGGUUCUGAAUGGAAGGGCCAUCGCUCAACGGAUAAAAGGUACUCCGGGGAUAACAGGCUGAUACCGCCCAAGAGUUCAUAUCGACGGCGGUGUUUGGCACCUCGAUGUCGGCUCAUCACAUCCUGGGGCUGAAGUAGGUCCCAAGGGUAUGGCUGUUCGCCAUUUAAAGUGGUACGCGAGCUGGGUUUAGAACGUCGUGAGACAGUUCGGUCCCUAUCUGCCGUGGGCGCUGGAGAAUUGAGGGGGGCUGCUCCUAGUACGAGAGGACCGGAGUGGACGCAUCACUGGUGUUCGGGUUGUCAUGCCAAUGGCACUGCCCGGUAGCUAAAUGCGGAAGAGAUAAGUGCUGAAAGCAUCUAAGCACGAAACUUGCCCCGAGAUGAGUUCUCCCUGAGACUUUAAGUCUCCUGAAGGAACGUUGAAGACUACGACGUUGAUAGGUCGGGUGUGUAAGCGCAGCGAUGCGUUGAGCUAACCGAUACUAAUGAACCGUGAGGCUUAACCUU
Molecule: ribosomal RNA, 2906 nt
Filed under: Enterobacter sp. SORGH_AS_0287
Lineage: Bacteria; Pseudomonadati; Pseudomonadota; Gammaproteobacteria; Enterobacterales; Enterobacteriaceae
Description: 23S ribosomal RNA
Rfam family: Bacterial large subunit ribosomal RNA
Source: RNAcentral